GGGCGUAUAGCUCAGCGGGAGAGCGCUGCCUUCACACGGCAGAGGUCCAUGGUUCGAAUCCAUGUACGCCCA
RNAcentral lists this transfer RNA (72 nucleotides) under Acidothermus cellulolyticus. Its description in RNAcentral is "tRNA-Val". It matches the Rfam family "tRNA". Rfam says of the family: Transfer RNA (tRNA) molecules are approximately 80 nucleotides in length. Their secondary structure includes four short double-helical elements and three loops (D, anti-codon, and T loops). Lineage: Bacteria; Bacillati; Actinomycetota; Actinomycetes; Acidothermales; Acidothermaceae. RNAcentral also lists the same sequence under 1 other name. The record is from RNAcentral.